Molecule: transfer RNA, 74 nt
Filed under: Mus musculus (house mouse)
Lineage: Eukaryota; Metazoa; Chordata; Mammalia; Rodentia; Muridae
Rfam family: tRNA
About the family: Transfer RNA (tRNA) molecules are approximately 80 nucleotides in length. Their secondary structure includes four short double-helical elements and three loops (D, anti-codon, and T loops). Further hydrogen bonds mediate the characteristic L-shaped molecular structure. tRNAs have two regions of fundamental functional importance: the anti-codon, which is responsible for specific mRNA codon recognition, and the 3' end, to which the tRNAs corresponding amino acid is attached (by aminoacyl-tRNA synthetases). tRNAs cope with the degeneracy of the genetic code in two manners: having more than one tRNA (with a specific anti-codon) for a particular amino acid; and 'wobble' base-pairing, i.e. permitting non-standard base-pairing at the 3rd anti-codon position.
Source: Rfam by way of RNAcentral
GUGGUCAUGGCUUAGCUGGUUAAGAGCACUGGCUGCUCUUCCAGAGGUCCUGAGUUCAAUUCCCAGCAACCACA